This is a long non-coding RNA of Heterocephalus glaber (naked mole-rat), 1224 nucleotides long. The record is from Ensembl. Lineage: Eukaryota; Metazoa; Chordata; Mammalia; Rodentia; Bathyergidae.
CACACUUCCAAAUCUGAUAUAUAGACUUAAUGAAAUGCCAAUCUAACCGAUAACAUUCUUCAUAAAGAAAACAAUCCUAAAAUUAAUAUGAAACCAGAUGAGACCCAGAAUAGCAAAAGCAAACCUGGUCAACAAGAGCAAAGCAGGAAGCAUCACAAUCUCAAACUUGAAAUUACACUCCAGAGUGACAGUGAAUAAAACAGCAUGGUACUGGCACAAAAACAGACAUAUGGAUCAAUGGAACCAAAUAGAGAAAGUAGAAACAACCCCAGGCACAUUCAAUUAUUUGAUCUUUGACAAAGGGGCCAAAAUAUACAAUGGAGGAAAGAUAGACUCUUUCAUAUAUGAUGCUGGGAAAAUUGGCUAUCCACACAGAAAAGAUUGAAUCUACAUCCAUAUGUCUCAUCAUGUACUAAACUAUAAUCAAAGUGAAUCAAAGAUCUAUAUGUUAAAACAGAAACAAUCUGCUGGAAGAUAAAACAGAUAAAACUGUCAUAUAAGUGUAUUGCAAGAACUUUCUGAACAGAACCCCAAUGGCACAAGAAAUAGUAGAAAGAACCAGGCAUGGUGCCACAUGCCUAUAAUCUCAGCACUUGGGAGAGUGAGACAGAAGGACUGCUUCAAGUUCAAGACCUUGUAUAUAUAUAAAAAAGAGAUAGUAGCAAGAAUCAACAAAUGGGAUCAUAUCAAAUUACAGAGUUUCUGCACAGCAAAGAAACAACCAACAAUAGCAAAGAGACAACCUACAGAAUGGGAAAAUAAAAUUGCCAGCUAUUCCUUGGACAGAGGACUAACAUCUAGAAUUUAUAAAAAACUCAAAAAACUUAGACCUUCCCAAAAAGACCCAAUUAAAAAAUGUGCAACCAAAUGAAUAGACACUUCGCAGAAGUACAAAUGGCCAAUAAAUAUAUGAAAAAAAAUGUUCAACGUUGCUGGCCAUUAGAGAAACCACAUAAAUAUCCCUAGCCCCAGUCCACAGUUCACCUCUCUCAAGGGCUGCAUUCUAGUUUCUUAUUUAUUCUGCUUAAUAAACCAUUUUAGCUCUCUCACUGACACAUCCUGAAAUUCUUUUCUUCAACAAGAGUCAAGAAGCUACUUGGUGGGCUGUGUUGCGGUGACCAUCUUCCUCUUUGGGAGAAUUCUUGGACCCUGUCCAAUGAUGCUCCAAGUUUCUAAAGUGCAAAUUAAUUCAGCUUUUCCAGUCAUUUUAUAAUACUCCCAUCU